Molecule: non-coding RNA, 392 nt
Organism: Penaeus vannamei (Pacific white shrimp)
Lineage: Eukaryota; Metazoa; Arthropoda; Malacostraca; Decapoda; Penaeidae
Source: RefSeq, a predicted model, not a curated record
CAGUACUCAUGCAGGAUUGGUACUAGAGGAAUGGAAGUGCGCCAAGGGAGACAAGACGAUCCGUCCCUUGUGGUUAGGCCUGGGGAGGACAUCCCCGAAAAUCCAGAAGGCAAGAAAGUGGGGGAUGAGGACUCCAAAAUGGUUCCCUGAAUAACUGGGAUACAUCAGGCAGAUGCUUUUGUUUAGUUUAGACAAGUGUUUAUUUGAUAGUGAAAGGGUUUAAUCAGUUUAGACAAAUGUUUAUUUGAUAGUGAAAGGGUUUAAUCAGUUUAGACAAGUGUUUAUUUGAUAGUGAAAGUGGUUUAUCAGUGUAGACAAAUGUUUAUUUGAUAGUGAAAGGGGGUAUCAUUAUCGACCCCUUUUUGUAUAUGGAAAUAUAACUUCAUUGGUCC